UCCACAGUAGCUCAGUGGUAGAGCUAUCGGCUGUUAACCGAUCGGUCGUAGGUUCGAUUCCUACCUGUGGAGCCA
This 75-nucleotide transfer RNA is filed under the name Staphylococcus aureus. RNAcentral's name for it is "tRNA-Asn(gtt)". It matches the Rfam family "tRNA". From Rfam's summary of the family: Transfer RNA (tRNA) molecules are approximately 80 nucleotides in length. Their secondary structure includes four short double-helical elements and three loops (D, anti-codon, and T loops). The record is from RNAcentral. Lineage: Bacteria; Bacillati; Bacillota; Bacilli; Caryophanales; Staphylococcaceae. RNAcentral also lists the same sequence under 1 other name.